This 490-nucleotide ribosomal RNA is filed under the name uncultured bacterium. Its description in RNAcentral is "partial 16S ribosomal RNA". It matches the Rfam family "Bacterial small subunit ribosomal RNA", at positions 30 to 507 of the family's 1533-position model. The record is from RNAcentral.
AUUGAACGCUGGCGGCAUGCCUUACACAUGCAAGUCGAACGGCAGCAUGAUCUAGCUUGCUCGAUUGAUGGCGAGUGGCGAACGGGUGAGUAAUACAUCGGAACGUGCCCUGUAGUGGGGGAUAACUAGUCGAAAGAUUAGCUAAUACCGCAUACGACCUGAGGGUGAAAGUGGGGGACCGCAAGGCCUCAUGCUUUAGGAGCGGCCGAUGUCUGAUUAGCUAGUUGGUGGGGUAAAGGCCCACCAAGGCGACGAUCAGUAGCUGGUCUGAGAGGACGAUCAGCCACACUGGGACUGAGACACGGCCCAGACUCCUACGGGAGGCAGCAGUGGGGAAUUUUGGACAAUGGGGGCAACCCUGAUCCAGCAAUGCCACGUGUGUGAAGAAGGCCUUCGGGUUGUAAAGCACUUUUGUCCGGAAAGAAAUCGCACUUACUAAUAUUAGGUGUGGAUGACGGUACCGGAAGAAUAAGGACCGGCUAACUACGUG